RNAcentral lists this ribosomal RNA (334 nucleotides) under Heptagenia sp. BYU IGCEP018. RNAcentral describes it as "partial 12S ribosomal RNA". It matches the Rfam family "Bacterial small subunit ribosomal RNA", at positions 877 to 1393 of the family's 1533-position model. Lineage: Eukaryota; Metazoa; Arthropoda; Insecta; Ephemeroptera; Heptageniidae. The record is from RNAcentral.
GUAGUAACAGUUAUGUUCUUGAAACUCAAAGAAUUUGGCGGUGUUUUAGUCCAUUCAGAGGAACCUGCCCCGUAAUCGAUAAUCCACGUUAAACUUAACUUAGACUUAUUUAGCUUGUAUACCGCCGUCGAAAGAGGAAUUUUUAAGAAUCCCCUCCAACACCCUUACUAGGGUAGAUGUCAGGUCAAGGUGCAGUUUAUGUCUAAGGGGAGGUGGGUUACAAUAAGGCUACUUAAACGGAUAUUCAUAGGAAGGGCUGAAUUGAAGGUGGAUUUGAGUGUAAUAAGCUUUACCUAAAGCUUAUGAAAUUGGCUCUAAAACAAGCACACAUCGC